UCAAAAACAAACAACAACUCGGUUCUGGGAUGUUUCCAUGCUGGGUCAGUUUAUGGAUGGAGUAUUAAACAUACGUGUCACGGCGAAUUCUCUUCCCCGGGUUGGCCUCAGUUUUACGGGCCUCGAGAAAGUAAAGCAUCGACUGAGAAGCAGAAAGUUUUGAGGCUGGAGGAGAGAGCCAGGUGCAGCUCAAGACAUGUGCUAAUUUAUGUUUUUCAGCUUUCAGGAUUUCUCUUGGAUCUCAUCCAAAAGCUCUCCCUGAGUCAGAGAGAUCCUUCACAGUGGGAGUCCCUACCCACAAGCCCCUGCUGCGCGUUUAAAUCGGAAGCCGGAGCAGCCACGGAGAGGAGACGAGGAGAGACAAAGCACGCCGUACGGAGAGAGUGGGACACAGAGGGUCUGAGCAGUGUCAGAAAAUCUGGCAGCAGCUGAGAUGAAGGCAGGACGUUUGAAGAUGAGGAAAGAUGUUUGAACCUGCACCCUCUUCUCAGUGUCCCAGUGGGGAGCGUAUAUGGGAAGGCAAGUCAUGUAUUAUUUAGAGUCAGAUCUUCUUUUCUGCUUGAUCAGGGCUUGAUUGAGAGAGGCUGUGACUGCGGUUUCUUUCCCCCGCGUAACAAUCUGCUCAGGAAUGAAGGUGAACUUGUGACCUCCACACAGUCGAUGGCUGCAUACACUGAAUGCAAAGUGCAGGUAAAUGUUACACCCCUCUGUUGUCAUGUGCACAGACAGAUCAUGUCAUCAGAAAACUCCUGUGCAUUACUUUAUUGGACAGCUGGGGGAUUACCUGCAGCCCUUGUGGAGGUUUUUUUCCAAGCGCUAAUAGACAAGAGCACAUGAGUAUUGGUAAUGUGUCAAGACCACAGGGAGCUGUGUUUUAGCCAAUCCCUAAUUAAAGUAGAAACUCCAAGCGUGCUCCUGCAAACGAGCCGUAGCUGAUAUGCUCUUUAAGUCAUUAACAGCUCGGAGCCACA
This 971-nucleotide long non-coding RNA is filed under the name Cottoperca gobio. Its description in RNAcentral is "lncRNA (ENSCGOG00000023746.1)". Lineage: Eukaryota; Metazoa; Chordata; Actinopteri; Perciformes; Bovichtidae. The record is from RNAcentral.